UGGUAGACGUAGCUCAUUGAGGAAGCUGACUGGUUGUAUGACAUCUCCAUCCUGGAAGCUGUAUUCCAUCCUGCCAUCAAUCUGGUUUGAAGUGCUUCUACAAGACAAACAAUAGAUAUUUGUUAGGUACUUUAAUCCACAUCUUGAAAAAGUUUUUCUUUUAUUUUUUUUUUUUAUUACUAAUCCUAAUUUUUUUUUGUAACUUUACGUAGCUUCAAUGAGCUAAAAUAAGAGGACACAUGAAGUAAAGACUGUGAAGCGAGUUCGCAUCUUACGUGAAGUUGGAGGACUUUGGUUGUAAAGUUGGACUUCCAGGUUCAUUCAGAAGAGUGUUCAGCUGCAGGAGAAAAAUCAAACCAUUCAUCAGUUUCUCCUGAAGACUGCCACUGAACCUAAGAUGUAUUACACUGUUCAUUUUUGAAAUUUACCGCAUUAUUGAUGGUAUCCUGCACUUUCUGGUUGGUGUUGCCUCUAGACACAGGGUCCUCUGGCAUGCUGAUGUUAAUCACGUUAAAUGUAAAGACCACAGCAUAGGAGGUUUCUGAGAUUUCUGUUUGGAUGGAAAUGGUAAUUUUAAGAAUUUCCAAAAGCCUGUAAUACAUCAUUGUU
Cyprinus carpio carpio is the source of this 609-nucleotide long non-coding RNA. NCBI's taxonomy places the organism in Eukaryota, Metazoa, Chordata, Actinopteri, Cypriniformes, Cyprinidae. The record is from Ensembl.